This 465-nucleotide ribosomal RNA is filed under the name uncultured bacterium. Its description in RNAcentral is "partial 16S ribosomal RNA". It matches the Rfam family "Bacterial small subunit ribosomal RNA", at positions 28 to 507 of the family's 1533-position model. The record is from RNAcentral.
GAUGAACGCUGGCGGCGUGCUUAACACAUGCAAGUCGAACGGAAAGGCUCCUGCUUGCAGGGGUACUCGAGUGGCGAACGGGUGAGUAACACGUGGGUGAUCUGCCCUGCACUUCGGGAUAAGCCUGGGAAACUGGGUCUAAUACCGGAUAGGACGAUGGUUUGGAUGCCAUUGUGGAAAGUUUUUCGGUGUGGGGUGAGCUCGCGGCCUAUCAGCUUGUUGGGGGGGUAAUGGCCUACCAAGGCGUCGACGGGUAGCCGGCCUGGGAGGGGGGACGGCCCCCCUUGGGCUGGGGCACGGCCCCGGCUCCUCCGGGGGGGAGCCGGUGGGAAUUUUGCCCCAUGGGCGGCAGCCUGGUUCCGCGGCCCCGGGUGGGGGGAGGCGGCCCUCGGGUUUUAAACCUCUUUCCGCUGGGACCAAGCGGCAGUGACGGUACCCGGAGAAAGAGCCCCCGCCAACCUCGUG